GUGUCAGCAGCCGCGGUAAUACCGGCAGUCCGAGUGAUGGCCGAUCUUAUUGGGCCUAAAGCGUCCGUAGCUGGCUGAACAAGUCCGCUGGGAAAUCUGUCCGCUUAACGGGCAGGCGUCCAGCGGAAACUGUUCAGCUUGGGACCGGAAGACCUGAGGGGUACGUCUGGGGUAGGAGUGAAAUCCUGUAAUCCUGGACGGACCGCCGGUGGCGAAAGCGCCUCAGGAGAACGGAUCCGACAGUGAGGGACGAAAGCUAGGGUCUCGAACCG
This 272-nucleotide ribosomal RNA is filed under the name uncultured prokaryote. RNAcentral describes it as "partial 16S ribosomal RNA". It matches the Rfam family "Archaeal small subunit ribosomal RNA", at positions 455 to 726 of the family's 1478-position model. The record is from RNAcentral.